Molecule: long non-coding RNA, 4311 nt
Organism: Mesoplodon densirostris (Blainville's beaked whale)
Lineage: Eukaryota; Metazoa; Chordata; Mammalia; Artiodactyla; Ziphiidae
Exons: 5
Source: RefSeq, a predicted model, not a curated record
AUCUGGGAAGAUCGCACAUGCCGCGGAGCAACUAAGCCCGUGUGCCACAACUACUGAGCCUGCGUUCUAGAGCCCACGAAGCCACCACAAUGAGAAGCCUGCGCACCACAACGAAGUGUAGCCCCUGAUCACCGCAACUAGAGAAAGCCGGCGCCCAGCAGUGAAGACCCAAUGCAGCCAAAGUCUCUUAAUGAUGGACCUACACUGAGCUGGAGAGCGGUCUCUAAAAAUGCACCAGAGGGCUCUGUCCUUGACCAAAUAAUGGUGGAGUAUUUUAAUGAACGACUUCAGCGAGAACGUAGAGAGACUAUUCAUCAGAUUUGUGGAUGACAUAAUUUGGAACCAAAGACUGCAAGUUUUACAGAUACGGGCACCAGUCGUGGAGAUUUACAGAUGCCUACGUCAUACGUGGGUUUUACAGAUGCAGGUACCAUGCAUGGAGUUUUACGAACGCAAGCGCCGUACUUGGAGACCCCUGGCAACAGUUUUAGAUAUCAGAGGACUUCUAAUUAUCUGAGAAUGACCAGAAGACCCCUGGAAUCUGUCUGCAUUUUCAUCCAAAGGGACAGGGAAGAACUUGGCUUCAGGAGUGAACAGCAAAGACACCAGCAGAGUUGGUUUUGGAUGAAACACUUGAGCUCUACUUGUCAAAUGUUAAGAUUACAUUUGUUUUCUUGAAGAUGGAUUUUUUUCCUCUUUUUUAUUCUGUCUUCUUUUUGAUGACUUUUGAGGGGAAAAGUGUUAUGUGAUAGGAAAGAAGUUGAAAAGGAAAAAAUAAACAGAGUCCCCACUGAAGAGGGCGGAGGAGUAAGACAUGGAGAUCACCUUCCUCCCCACAAAUACAUCAGAAAUACAUCUACAUGUGGAAAAACUCCUACAGAACACCUACUGAAUGCUGGCAGAAGAACUCAGACCUCCCAAAAGGCAAGAAAAUACCCACAUACCUGGGUAGGGCGAAAGAAAACAGAAAAAAACAGAGGCAAAAGAAUAGGGAUGGGAUCUGCCCCUCUGGAAGGGAGCUGUGAAGGAGGAAAAGUUUCCACACACUAGGAAGGCCCUUCACUGGCAGAGACUGUGGGUGGCGGAGGGGGGAAGCUUCGAAGACGCGGAGGAGAGCGCAGCAACAGGGGUGCGGAAGGCAAAGCGGAGAGAUUCCCGCACAGAGGGUCGGUGCUGACUGGCACUCACCAGCCCGAGAGGCUUGUCUGCUCGCCCACCGGGGCGGGCAGGGGCUGGGAGCUGAGGCUCGGGCUUCGGUCGGAGCACAGGGAGAGGACUGGGGUUAGCUGUGUGACCACAGCCUGCAGGGGGUUAGUGUGCCACAGCUAGGUGGGAGGGAGUCCGGGAAAAGGUCUGGACCUGCCGAAGAGGCAAGAGACUUUUUCUUCCCUCUUUGUUUGCUAGUGCGCGAGGAGAGGGGAUUAAGAGCGCUGCUUAAAGGAGCUCCAGAGACGGGCGCGAGCCGCAGCUAACAGUGCGGACCCCAGAGACGGGCAUAAGACGCUAAGGCUGCUGCUGCCGCCACCAACAAGCCUGUGUGCAAGCACAGGUCACUCUCCACACCGCCCCUCCCAGGAGCCUGUGCAACCCACCACUGCCAGGGUCCUGUGAUCCAGGGACAACUUCCCCGGGAGAACGCACGGUGCGCCUCGGGCUGGUGCAAUGUCAUGCCGGCCUCUGCCGCUGCAGGCUCGCCCCGCAUCCAUACCCCUCCCUCCCCCCGGCCUCAGUGAGCCAGAGCCCCCGAAUCAGCGACUCCUUUAACCCCGUCCUGUCUGAUCGAAGAACAGACGCCCUCAGGCGACCUACACGCGGAGGCGGGGCCACAUCCAAAGCUGAGCCCCGGGAGCUGUGCGAACAAAGAAGAGAAAGGGAAAUCUCUCCCAGAAGCCUCAGGAGCAGCAGAUUAAAUCUCCACAAUAAACCUGAUGUACCCUGCAUCUGUGGAAUACCUGAAUAUACAAAGAAUCAUCCCAAAAUUGAGGCGGUGGACUUUUGGAGCAACUGUAGACUUGGGGUCUGCUGUCUGUGACUGAUUUGUUUCUAAUUUUUAUGCUUAUCUUAGUAUAGUUUUUAGUGCUUGUUAUCAUUGGUGGAUUUGUUUAUUGGUUCGGUUGCUCUCUUCUUUUUUUAAUUAUUAUUACUUUUUUAUUUUAAUUUUUAAAUUUUAAUAAUUUUAUUUUAUUCUUUAUUUUGUUAUUUAUUAUUAUUUUUCUUUCCUUUUUUCUCACUUUUCUUCUAAGCCGUGUGGCUGACAGGCUCUUGGUGCUCUGGCGGGGUGUCCAGCCUGAGCCUCUGCGGUGAGAAAGCCGAGUUCAAGACAUUGGACCACCAGAGACCUCCCAGUCCCACAUAAUAUCAAGCAGCAAGAGCUUUCCCAGAGAUCUCUGUCUCAACGCUAAGACCCAGAUCCACUUAACGGCCAGCAAGCUCCAGUGCUGGACACCCCAUGCCAAACAACUAGCAAGACAGGAACACAAACCCAUCCAUUUAGCAGAAAGGUUGCCUAAAAUCAUACUAAGUUCACAGACAUCCCAAAACACACCAUCGGACACAGCCCUGCCCACCAGAAAGGCAAGAUCCAGCCCCACCUACCAUAACACCUAAGGAGACAAAAGACCCGUCCGUAUACAGAAAACUACAAGACACUGAGGAAAGAAAUUAAAGAUGAUACAAAUAGAUGGAGAGAUAUACCAUGUUCUUGGAUUGGAAGAAUCAACAUUGUGAAAAUGACUCUACUACCCAAAGCAAUCUACAGAUUCAAUGCAAUCCCUAUCAAACUACCACUGGCAUUUUUCACAGAACUAGAACAAAAAGUUUCAAAAUUUGUUUGGAAAAACAAAAGACCCCAAAUAGCCAAAGCAAUCUUGAGAACGAAAAACGGAACUGGAGGAAUCAGGGUCCCUGACUUCAGACUAUAUUACAAAGCUACAGUAAUCAAGACAGUAUGGUACUGGCACAAAAACAGAAAGAUAGAUCAAUGGAACAGGAUAGAAAGCCCAGAGAUAAACCCACACACAUAUGGUCACCUUAUCUUUGAUAAAGGAGGCAGGAAUGUACAGUGGAGAAAGGACAGCCUCUUCAAUAAGUGGUGCUAGGAAAACUGGAGAGGUACAUGUAAAAGAAUGAGAUUAGAACACUCCCUAUCACCAUACACAAAAAUAAACUCAAAAUGGAUUAAAGACCUAAAUGUAAGGCCAGAAACUAUCAAACUCUUAGAGGAAAACACAGGCAGAACACUCUAUGACAUAAACCACAGCAAGAUGCUUUUUGACCCACCCUCCUAGAGAAAUGGAAAUAAAAACAAAUAAACAAAUGGGACCUAAUGAAACUUCAAAGCUUUUGCACAGCAAAGGAAACCAUAAACAAGAUGAAAAGACAACCCUCAGAAUGGGAGAAAAUAUUUGCAAAUGAAGCAACUGACAAAGGAUUAAUCUACAAAAUUUAUAAGCAGCUCAUGCAGCUCCAUAGCAAAAAAACAAACAACCCAAUCCAAAAAUGGGUGGAAGACCUAAAUAGACAUUUCUCCAAAGAAGAUAUACAGACUGCCAACAAACACAUGAAAGAAUGCUCAACAUCAUUAAUCAUUAGAGAAAUGCAAAUCAAAACUACAAUGAGGUGCACCUCACACCAGUCAGAAUGGCCAUCAUCAAAAAAUCUACAAACAAUAAAUGCUGGAAAGGGUGUGGUGAAAAGGGAACUCUCCUGCACUGUUGGUGGGAAUGUAAAUUGAUACAACCACUAUCGAAAACAGUAUGGAGAUUCCUUAAAAAAUUAAAAAUAGAACUAUCAUACGACACAGCAAUCCCCCUACUGGGCAUAUACCCUGAGAAAACCAUAAUUCAAAAAGAGACAUGUACCACAAUGAUCACUAGAGCUCUGUUUACAAUAGCCAGGUCAUGGAAGCAACCUAAGUGUUCACUGACAGAUGAAUGGAUAAAGAAGACGUGGUACACAUAUACAAUGGAAUAUUAAUCAGCCAUAAAAAGAUAUGAAAUUGAGUUAUUUGUAGUGAGGUUGAUGGACCUAGAGUCUUUCAUACAGAGUGAAGUAAGUCAGAAAGAGAAAAACAAAUAUCGUAUGCUAACACAUAUAUGUGGAAUCAAAAAAAAAAAAGGUUCUGAAGAACCUAGGGGCAGGACAGGAAUAAAGAUGCAGAGGUAGAGAUUGGAGUUGAGGACACAGGGAGUUGGAAGGGUAAGCUGGGACGAAGUGAGAGAGUGGCAUGGACAUAUAUACACUACCAAAUGUAAAAUAGAUAGCUAGUGGGAAGCAGCUGCAUAGCACAGGGAGAUCAGCUCCGUGUUUUGU